GGGGGUGAAAUUGGCUUCGACGGGGUUGUUUGGAGCCUUGGAUUGCGUACCGUGUUAUCCGCAGACACGUUAAACAGCGGUAAAAAAAAUAACUGGCGAAUCUUACGCCCUCGCCGCCUAAUUUAAUUAGGUAGCCGAUCCUGCAGAAUGCUCGUAUCCGUUCUGUAACGAUCGUCGCUUAGGUACGAUAGCUGAUCCGAUCUCCGGGUAGGAAAGGCGAACCUCUCACCGGAUAUUAGCCGCGAGAUCCUGUCGGAUGGAGCAAGCGGAAUGAAACAAAAAGUCUGACUAUGUGCGUAGCAUAUCCACUGAGACACAACUUCGGACGCGGGUUCGACUCCCGCCACCUCCACCA
This 355-nucleotide transfer-messenger RNA is filed under the name Ignavibacteriaceae. RNAcentral's name for it is "UTCHB3 sp008363265 Standard tmRNA". It matches the Rfam family "transfer-messenger RNA". From Rfam's summary of the family: Bacterial tmRNA, also known as 10Sa RNA or SsrA, is named for its dual tRNA and mRNA-like properties. Its role is to liberate the mRNA from a stalled ribosome. Lineage: Bacteria; Pseudomonadati; Ignavibacteriota; Ignavibacteria; Ignavibacteriales. The record is from RNAcentral. RNAcentral also lists the same sequence under 2 other names.